Molecule: small RNA, 28 nt
Filed under: Bombyx mori (domestic silkworm)
Lineage: Eukaryota; Metazoa; Arthropoda; Insecta; Lepidoptera; Bombycidae
Description: ovarian small RNA-20018
Source: RNAcentral
UACAAAGUAAUGAUCGGAUUGAAUGUAA